UACGUAGGGUGCGAGCGUUGUCCGGAAUUACUGGGCGUAAAGAGCUCGUAGGUGGUUUGUCGCGUUGUUCGUGAAAUUCCCUGGCUUAACUGGGGGCGUGCGGGCGAUACGGGCAGACUGGAGUACUGCAGGGGAGACUGGAAUUCCUGGUGUAGCGGUGGAAUGCGCAGAUAUCAGGAGGAACACCGGUGGCGAAGGCGGGUCUCUGGGCAGUAACUGACGCUGAGGAGCGAAAGCGUGGGGAGCGAACAGG
This 253-nucleotide ribosomal RNA is filed under the name uncultured bacterium. RNAcentral's name for it is "partial 16S ribosomal RNA". It matches the Rfam family "Bacterial small subunit ribosomal RNA", at positions 524 to 776 of the family's 1533-position model. RNAcentral also lists the same sequence under 1 other name. The record is from RNAcentral.